Long non-coding RNA from Dermacentor silvarum, 165 nucleotides. RefSeq lists it as uncharacterized. The transcript has 2 exons. Lineage: Eukaryota; Metazoa; Arthropoda; Arachnida; Ixodida; Ixodidae. The record is from RefSeq and is a predicted model, not a curated record.
UUGCGCAGCAAUGACAUCGUCUCCGUGUACAGUCGACACGAACGUCACCGCGUUGGCGAUCUCCGCCAACGGAGUUCGCCAUGGAGAUCCAAGAAACGAGUUUCGCACCGCUUAGCUCUCGCGAAGGUACAGGAGGUAGCGCCGAUCACUGAGACAUGGGUCUCC